Molecule: long non-coding RNA, 450 nt
Filed under: Actinidia chinensis (golden kiwifruit)
Lineage: Eukaryota; Viridiplantae; Streptophyta; Magnoliopsida; Ericales; Actinidiaceae
Description: long non-coding RNA (ACHI_LNC006399)
Source: RNAcentral
AGCAUAGUUUGUGAUUUCAUAGUUUGUGAUUUCCUAAAUGAUGCCUAAGUUUGAUAUCAUACUUGUAUAAUUAACCAUUCUUGUAUAAAUCGAUGAAGAAAGUUGAACUACCAUGUAUUUAAGAAAUCUUGACAUAAAAAAGUGGAGACUUAUAGCAUACCUACAAAAUUUUGAGCCUUUUAUUUGCAGGAACAUAAUAUCCUGAUUAAGGCAUAACAUGGUAUAUUUGGUUUCAAUUUCAUUCAAUAUGUGAUUUAUGACACCUAGGGGAUGAUACAAUGGCAUUCAAUUCAUUAAAAGACCAAAUGCUUUGAGUCUAAAUCUUUUGAACCUUAAUUUGGGCCAUAUCCCAUCAACUUUUAAGCCUAGGAGCCUAAUUCAAGGGAAGAGGGUGGAGGGUGGAGGAAUGGGCUAGGAUGUGAAAGAAGGGUUUCGAGAUGUUGAUAAUAU